This 497-nucleotide ribosomal RNA is filed under the name uncultured bacterium. RNAcentral's name for it is "partial 16S ribosomal RNA". It matches the Rfam family "Bacterial small subunit ribosomal RNA", at positions 28 to 507 of the family's 1533-position model. The record is from RNAcentral.
GAUGAACGCUGGCGGCGUGCCUAAUACAUGCAAGUCGAGCGAACAGACGAGGAGCUUGCUCCUCUGACGUUAGCGGCGGACGGGUGAGUAACACGUGGAUAACCUACCUAUAAGACUGGGAUAACUUCGGGAAACCGGAGCUAAUACCGGAUAAUAUAUUGAACCGCAUGGUUCAAUAGUGAAAGACGGUUUUGCUGUCACUUAUAGAUGGAUCCGCGCUGCAUUAGCUAGUUGGUAAGGUAACGGCUUACCAAGGCAACGAUGCGUAGCCGACCUGAGAGGGGGAUCGGCCACACUGGAGCUGGGACAGGGUCCAGACUCCUGCGGGAGGCAGCAGUAGGGAAUCUUCCGCAAUAGGCGAAAGCCUGGCGGAGCGACGCCGCGUGAGAGAUAAAGGUCUUCGGAUCGGAAAACUCUGUUAUUAGGGAAGAACAAAUGUGUAAGUAACUAUGCACGUCUUGACGGUACCUAGUCAGAAAGCCACGGCUAACUACGUG